GACGAACGCUGGCGGCGUGCCUAACACAUGCAAGUCGAGCGGGGAUUGUGGAGAGCUUGCUCAAAGCAAUUCUAGCGGCGGACGGGUGAGUAACGCGUGAGUAACCUGCCUUCAGGAGGGGGACAACAUUCCGAAAGGGAUGCUAAUACCGCAUGAUAUUGUUUUAUCGCAUGGUUUAACAAUCAAAGAUUUAUCGCCUGAAGAUGGACUCGCGUCUGAUUAGCUAGUUGGUGGGGUAACGGCCUACCAAGGCGACGAUCGAGUAGCCGAACUGAGAGGUUGAUCGGCCACAUUGGGACUGAGACACGGCCCAAACUCCUACGGGAGGCAGCAGUGGGGAAUAUUGCACAAUGGGGGAAACCCUGAUGCAGCGACGCCGCGUGAGUGAAGAAGUAUUUCGGUAUGUAAAGCUCUAUCAGCAGGGAAGAAAAUGACGGUACCUGACUAAGAAGCCCCGGCUAACUACGUG
This 469-nucleotide ribosomal RNA is filed under the name uncultured bacterium. RNAcentral's name for it is "bacterial SSU rRNA". It matches the Rfam family "Bacterial small subunit ribosomal RNA", at positions 28 to 507 of the family's 1533-position model. The record is from RNAcentral.